GACGAACGCUGGCGGCGUGCUUAACACAUGCAAGUCGAACGGAAAGGCCCCUUUUGGGGUACUCGAGUGGCGAACGGGUGAGUAACACGUGAGUAACCUGCCCUUGACUUCGGGAUAACUUCAGGAAACUGGGGCUAAUACCGGCUAGGAAUCCUUGCUGCAUGGUGGGGGUUGGAAAGCUUCGGCGGUUUUGGAUGGACUCGCGGCUUAUCAGCUUGUUGGUGGGGUAGUGGCUUACCAAGGCUUUGACGGGUAGCCGGCCUGAGAGGGCGACCGGCCACAUUGGGACUGAGAGAAGGCACAGACUCCUACGGGAGGCAGCAGUGGGGAAUAUUGCACAAUGGGCGGAAGGCGGAUGCAGCAACGCCGCGUGCGGGAUGACGGCCUUCGGGUUGUAAACCGCUUUCAGCAGGGGCGAAGCUUGUGGUGACGGUACCUGCAGAAGAAGCACCGGCUAACUACGUG
This 465-nucleotide ribosomal RNA is filed under the name uncultured bacterium. RNAcentral describes it as "partial 16S ribosomal RNA". It matches the Rfam family "Bacterial small subunit ribosomal RNA", at positions 28 to 507 of the family's 1533-position model. The record is from RNAcentral.